RNAcentral lists this long non-coding RNA (3118 nucleotides) under Triticum aestivum (bread wheat). RNAcentral's name for it is "long non-coding RNA (TAES_LNC028115)". The record is from RNAcentral. Lineage: Eukaryota; Viridiplantae; Streptophyta; Magnoliopsida; Poales; Poaceae.
AAUAAGUAAAGAAUCUCUAUUAAACUAGAAACAAUACUGUAGUGCACAAUUACAAAUUCACAACUACAAAAUAAUGAUCACAAUAACAUUAAAAUUACAAAUCAGUCACACUGGACAUUUAGAUAAACAUAAUAUGUAAUCGUGUUCGCAGUAGUAUCAUUGUUCCUAUCCAAGUGGAGUAACCCAUCUAAACCAAACCCAACUGUCUUCUGUUCUAUCUCAGUUACCUGCAAAAGAAUAGCUAAAAAAAUGUGAGAACUAUCCACAUGAGGAAUAAAUUAUGGGAAAGAUUCAUACAAACCCUUAUUUAAAAUGACACUAAUUAGCUCACCCGCAAUAAAUGAAAAGUACAAGGAACAAUAUACGGCAACAUUGCAUUUGUCAGUCAACAUGGACAUUUUAUCGUCAGGCAGAAAAGGAUUUGGCAUGCAGAAAGAACACAUAGGCACAUCUUAGUAUCACAAAGAAAUAAAUCAAAUAUAAAUACUAAUAGUGAGAUGGUUGGUGGAAUAUCUAUCCUGGAAAAUUCUAGCAUCAUUCAGUUACUAUAUGUGGCUAGAACAAAUCUUUACUAAGAUCAUUGAAAUAAAUGUCCUAUUAAAAUAAAGAAAAAUGAAAUAUUAUUAAACAUGUAUACUUCGGAAAGAGAAAUAUAUACUUUGGUGCUCUAAGUUUAUUAGUUCUAUGGUAAUUGUUGAAUUACAGAACAAGGGCAGAAAUGUACACGGAUGAGUGCAAGAUUUAGGAUCUGUUUGGUUUGUGCCGGAGUCAGCCUCGCCAAAGGAGGACACGCCAAAUAAUUGGCGAGCGAUUUGGCCGCCGGCGCCUCGCCAAAUAGUUGGUGCAAAUAUAGACUAGAAGAGCUAUGGUGGGCAGGGCGAGCCAAAACAUCAGCGCUCAUCCAAACGAACUCGCCAGCCUGGUCAACUACCAAUAUUUUGGUCAACUACCAAUAUUUUGGACAGGCGGCUGCGAGCAGCGAUCCAAACAGCCCUUUAAAGCUUUCACAUGCUUAGCUCCAUUCACAUGGAUAAUAGAAAAGGUUUGUAGAGAAAUGCACUUCUAAAGGGCAGGCAAAAAAAUUUGAUAAUAUUGCAAAAUACAUGAAGAUAAGUUAAACCUCAGGACAUGCAAGAAUGUUAAUGCAUUGUAAACCUCAGGAGAUGCUAGGGUGUUAACCUCAACCCACAAUUGUAGUGGAUGAUUGUAGGAGUUUCAUCUGUUCAAUACUGAUUUGAAAGCUGAGAUCAAGUUACACAGAACAAAACUCUACGAAAAUAAGGCAAGAAAAGGAAAGAAAAUUGAGACUUAAUUAAGUACACUCAUAUUAAACUAAAUAAACAUACACUGCUAUAACCAAUUAUCAGUUACAUAAGUAGACGGUUGGCAUUAAAUAUGUAACAGAUAUUAUUCGUUGCAAUAUAUUAUAGUAAUUAAACAGUUGAUGUGCAUACUUGUGAAAGAGACAUGUGAAAACAUUCAGAUUUGUUGUAGUGCUCAAACCAUAAGGUCCAGUAUAGCAUUUAUCCAUUCAAUUCACAUUACCCAGUGGUGACAGCAUGAUCAAGUCUCACAACCCUAUGUGUACUUUAAUUUAGGCAGGAAAUCACACAGUGGCGAAGCCACGCUAUAGCUGGGUAGUCAAGCGACUACACAACAAUUUGACAUGCCAGAGACUACCACGCCUGCCUCCCCCAUCGGUAAAAAACAAGUUCUAUAAACUGACUACAACAGACCCAUUUGUUAUUUGCUUUGCCUAUGAUUUGGCUGGCCCAAUAUAGCAAAGGAAAUUACGCAGCCGUCCUAAUUAUAUAGCUUCCCUAAUCAGCCAAUCCUCAAAUCCUGUGAUUACUCUUACUACUACUACUUCUCUCCUUUUCACCUUCCCAUGUAAUCCCUAAAGGCCAACGGGGGCACAAUACCGGCAGGUUGGAGCACAUCAUGCAUGGAUGCGCAUGUUGCACACCAAGCAGCGUUGAUGCUGCCGGCCGCCAACCGCCCGCUGUCCGGAAACACCUCCGUGAGCAUGGCCACGUCCUCAGCCAGUCUCCGACUCUCUACAGUACUGUACUUCUGGUGAUCGGCGAGUGCACAAGGAGUCUAGCACAAGGUCCUUUUUCUUCUAUUUGUACGCUACAUCUUCUUCCUCUUCCAAUUUUUUCUCUUAUUAAGAAAUCAAGAUCUUGUUUUUCAUAGUAAAACGCUUGUUUUUGACUUGUUAGGUCUUGUAUUUGGUAAUGACACCAAUGAUAAAUGGAUAAAUUUGGCAAAAAGCUGCAACCAAAAAUAUGUGUGGUCUUUUCUGUUCCUGUUUAUUUUGUCUAUAAUUUUUUCAUUUAAAAAACUUGACAAAGCAAUGUUCGGAUCCUGCCACCGCCACUGAAAUCACAUACGUCAGAGCAGACAUACAUUGCCAACAAGAACAACCAUCCAAAAAAGAAGAGCAGGAGCAGAGCUGGUUACCUAUGGUGGCUGGUGUUUGGUGGAGUUCGAGGUAGAUGCACGGCCGCCGUUCCUGCUGUGCUGCUCUAUGUUGGCUGCUUGCCACCGACAGCCAAAGGGACGCGUGCGUCCGUACAUCAGAGAGAGGGACGCGAGCAACCUUUCCUCUACAGGGAUCCACGACCACAGCAUUAGUCGGAGCCGGCAAAAGAACCUAGACGGGGGUCGCGGAGGAGUACGAGGCCACGACGUCGAGGAAGCCAGCAGGACAGGUGGGAGCCGCGCUGGUAACCAGUGGCGACUAGGGUUUGCUGCUGCUUCCAGCCGUCGCAGUAGAUCGUCGACCACCGCACGGCCGCUCCGGUUCGACAAGGCCGACGUCGGGGUUCUGUUCCGUGCCAAAUCUGCGCGCGCCCAGGAUGUCGUUGCCACUACACCUAGUACGAGGGAUGGGGGAUGUGUGCCAUUGGAGUGGAGGAAGCUUAGGAGAUUCCGGGGAAGAGAGAAGGUGCAUGUGGGGAGGUGGAGGAAGGAGGCAUCGUAGGGACGGUGAGGGUGCGGAGGAGGGAUAGUGGAGGGGAUCGAGGAUGAGGGAUAAGAUGAGGGGGCGGCGGCGGGGAGGAGAAAGAGAUUGGGGAAGGGAGUGUUAGCCUGUUAGGGUUAGGUUUUAUACAGG